UACGAAGGGGGCUAGCGUUGUUCGGAAUCACUGGGCGUAAAGGGCGCGUAGGCGGCUUGAUAAGUCGGGGGUGAAAGCCUGUGGCUCAACCACGGAAUUGCCUUCGAUACUGUCGAGCUUGAGACCGGAAGAGGUAAGUGGAACUGCGAGUGUAGAGGUGAAAUUCGUAGAUAUUCGCAAGAACACCAGUGGCGAAGGCGGCUUACUGGUCCGGUUCUGACGCUGAGGCGCGAAAGCGUGGGGAGCAAACAGG
This 253-nucleotide ribosomal RNA is filed under the name uncultured bacterium. Its description in RNAcentral is "partial 16S ribosomal RNA". It matches the Rfam family "Bacterial small subunit ribosomal RNA", at positions 524 to 776 of the family's 1533-position model. The record is from RNAcentral.